CGGUCUGUACGGUAUGUAUACGUAUAUACGGUAUGUACAAUUUCAUACCGUAGCCGAGCUAAAAAGUUGUGGGCCGAAUAGUAGGCCCGAAUAGUAAGCCCAAAUUUGGUUGGGCCUAUUCAAAAUGCGUUUGGUUCGGCCGAUUGGUAGGCCCAAAUAGUAAGCCCAAUUGUUCGGCCGAUUUGUAGGCCCAAAUAGUAAGCCCAAUUGUUCGGCCGAUUGGUAGGCACAAAUAGUAAGCCCAAUUGUUCGGCCCGAAUGGUAGGCCCAAAUGUUAAGCCCAAUUGUUCGGCCCAAAUGGUAGGCCCAAAUGUUAAACCCAAAUUGGUUCGGGCCGGUUCGAAAUGUGGAUGGUUCGGUUUCUUCGGCCCAAUUGGCCAGCCCUGAUGCUUAGCCCAAGGAUUGAGCAAGCCCAAGUCAUCAUCACUGGGUGUCAGAUUUUAUUGGCAUGCUUUUGGGGAUGAUUUGUUUUGAGUGAUGCAUCUCUAUUGUUGUGUAGAAUAGUGCAUGCUUAAGUUUUACUAUAGAGAUUUACCGUGAUGCUAAUUGAGUAGCGAAACGCUUUGUGAGAAUGUUUACUGUGCUUGUAUGCCAGUACAGGAUGAUGAUCUAUGUGAAGAUCUAUGUGAUGAUCUAUGAGAUGAUCUAUGUGAAGAUCUAUGUGAGGAUCCAUGUGGUGAUUUUGUGUGAGUUUACUUUUGUGAUGAAAGAAUUUGUGGCCUUAGGAAUGUAUUUUUAUACAAAGGGCUGUGGCUUUGUAGAUUACUACAGCUUUGGAAAGGAUGGAGAUUCGAUGGUUAGGUUAACCGUAAUCGAGAGCAAUUAACUUGCGCUUAAAUUUCGGGACGAAAUUUCUUUAAGGAGGGUGGAUUGUAAUACCCGAAAAAUUCAAGUUAAUUUCCGAUGACGUUUUGGAAAUGAUUUCGUGGUCGUGGACACGAGUACGAAGCUUAGAGGAGUGUGGAAUUAGUUCGAACGAUUUUAUUUUGAAAACUGAACGUUUUAGGGGGGUCAAAGGAGUUGACUUUUUAUACAUUGGGAAAUUGGGAAAACUUCCUUCAUGAAAGUUGUAGAGCGCGUCGAUACGAGUUCGUGGACAUAUGGAACGUAAUAUUCGGAGUUCGUAUGAAUAAGUUACGAAUAUUUGAAAAUUGGGAUUUUCUAUAAAUAUGAAAAAAAAUCCGAAUAUUGCAAAUGAGGACAGAAUUUCUGGAACUCCAGAAAUUUCUCCCCAUUUCUCUCCCGAGCCCAGCCGCGACCCCCUCCCUUCGUCACCUUCGUUCUUCCUCAUCCGGCCACCGAUUGAUGUGAAACAAAGUGGGUUUUUCUGGUCUCGACCCCCUUUACGAGUUUGUAGAAGAAAUCGAAGUGAAAUACGAGCUGUAUGAGGCUCUACAAGGUCGAGAAGAGAGCCUCGUCGGAGACGAAAUCGCUCUUCCCCACUUUUUCUGGGCUCUACUUUGUCUGGCCAUAUCUUCCUCUACAGGCCUCCGAUCGACCUGAUUCCAAAAGCAAUUUUUCUCACCGUGAAGUUUUCUACAACUUUCCAGAAGACAUCGACUUGAGAUAACCAUCGUGGUGGCCGCUAGAAGACCGAGAAGCCGCACAGCCGAGCUGGAAAUCGUCUUCCUUCGCCACCUUGGUUCUCCCAGCUCCGGCCACUAUAGCUCGAGUUCUUUGAGGGCUUUUCUAGCCCAGAGGAAGUAGAAGCUAUCCCCAAGAAGGCUUGCAGCGAUUUGAUCCGGGGUGAUCGAAUUUUGAAGAUUGGGAAACUAGGGUUCUUCGGGUUUCAAAACUUGCGAGCGGGUAAUCCUGCAGGUCAGGAGAAUCAGGACGGUGAUCGUGCGGGUUAGAGAAUUUGUUUUAGUUUUACAGCAAUUGUAAUUGUGAGGUGAGUUAUGCUCAUUUGAGCCUUACAAUAUAAUUUGGUGAGAGUGUGCUGUAAUAAACAAAUUUGAGAUUUGGUUUAUGUAAUAUCGAGCGAUGUGAGGUGUGGUUGUUUUGAGAAAAAAUUCAGGUUGUAUUUAUGUGAGUUGUAUUAAUUCAUGUUUCGGA
Long non-coding RNA from Rosa rugosa (rugosa rose), 2055 nucleotides. RefSeq lists it as uncharacterized. Lineage: Eukaryota; Viridiplantae; Streptophyta; Magnoliopsida; Rosales; Rosaceae. The transcript is spliced from 2 exons. The record is from RefSeq and is a predicted model, not a curated record.